RNAcentral lists this ribosomal RNA (486 nucleotides) under uncultured bacterium. RNAcentral describes it as "partial 16S ribosomal RNA". It matches the Rfam family "Bacterial small subunit ribosomal RNA", at positions 30 to 507 of the family's 1533-position model. The record is from RNAcentral.
AUUGAACGCUGGCGGCAUGCCUUACACAUGCAAGUCGAACGGCAGCACGGGUGCUUGCCCCUGGUGGCGAGUGGCGAACGGGGGAGUAAUACAUCGGAACAUGUCCUGUAGUGGGGGAUAGCCCGGCGAAAGCCGGAUUAAUACCGCAUACGAUCUACGGAUGAAAGCGGGGGCCCUUCGGGCCUCGCGCUUUAGGGUUGGCUCGUGGCUGAUUAGCUAGUUGGUGGGGUAAAGGCCUACCAAGGCGACGAUCAGUAGCUGGUCUGAGAGGACGACCAGCCACACUGGAACUGAGACACGGCCCAGACUCCUACGGGAGGCAGCAGUGGGGAAUUUUGGACAAUGGGCGAAAGCCUGAUCCAGCAAUGCCGCGUGUGUGAAGAAGGCCUUCGGGUUGUAAAGCACUUUUGUCCGGAAAGAAAUCCUUGGCCCUAAUACGGUCGGGGGAUGACGGUACCGGAAGAAUAAGCACCGGCUAACUACGUG